GAUAUCAAAGGUGGCUCUCGAUGAAGCUAUCGCUUGAGGAUGAGCCCGCGGACCAUUAGCUUGUUGGUGGGGUAAUGGCCCACCAAGGCGACGAUGGUUAGCUGGUCUGAGAGGAUGAUCAGCCACACUGGAACUGACACACGGUCCAGACUCCUACGGUAGGCAGCAGUGAGGAAUUUUGCGCAAUGGGGGAAACCCUGACGCAGCAACGCCGCGUGAGUGAUGAAGGCUUUCGGGUCGUAAAGCUCUGUAGGGUGGGAAGAACCCGUUNUGUGAACAAUACCACAAAGCGCUGACGGUACCACCUGAGGAAGCACCGGCUAACUCCGUGCCAGCAGCCGCGGGUAAUACGGAGGGUGCAAGCGUUAUCCGGAAUUAUUGGGCGUAAAGCGCGCGUAGACGGUACGGUAAGUCAGCUGUGAAAAGCCCCAUGGUUCAACCGAUGGAAGUGCAGUUGAUUACUAUUCGAACUUGAGUAUGGGAGAGGGAAGCGGAAUCCCUGGUGUAGCGGUGAAAUGCGUAGAUUUCAGGAGGAACACCGGUGGCGAAGGCGGCUCCCUGGACCAAUACUGACGGCUCAGGGCGCGAAGGCGUGCGGAGCAAAACAGGAUUAGAUACCCUGGUAGUCCACGCAGUAAACGGUGAUCACUAGGUGUAAGCGGGUAUUGACCCCUUGCUGUGCCGCAGUCGACGCAUUAAAGUGAUCCGCCCUGGGGAGUACGCCCGCAAGGUUUAAACUCAAAGGAAUUGACGGGGGCCCGUACAAGCGGUGGAGCAUGUGGUUUCAUUCGACGCAACGCGAAGAACCUUACCUGGGCUUGACAUCCCGGGAAUUUCCUGGAAACAGGAAAGUGCCCUCCGGGGAGCCUGGUGACAGGUGCUGCAUGGCUGUCGUCAGCUCGUGUCGUGAGAUGUUGGGUUAAGUCCCGCAACGAGCGCAACCCUUAUCUUCAGUUACCAGCAUUUCGGGUGGGGACUCUGAAGAUACUGCCCCGGUCAACGGGGAGGAAGGUGGGGAUGACGUCAAGUCCUCAUGGCCUUUAUGCCCAGGGCUACACACGUGCUACAAUGGACGGUACAAAGGGUCGCUACCUCGCGAGAGCCAGCCAAUCCCAAAAAGCCGUCCUCAGUUCGGAUCGGAGUCUGCAACUCGACUCCGUGAAGUCGGAAUCGCUAGU
Molecule: ribosomal RNA, 1178 nt
Filed under: uncultured organism
Description: bacterial SSU rRNA
Rfam family: Bacterial small subunit ribosomal RNA
Source: RNAcentral